Molecule: ribosomal RNA, 465 nt
Filed under: uncultured bacterium
Lineage: Bacteria
Description: partial 16S ribosomal RNA
Rfam family: Bacterial small subunit ribosomal RNA
Source: RNAcentral
CCUACGGGGCGCUGCAGUGGGGAAUAUUGCACAAUGGGGGGAACCCUGAUGCAGCAACGCCGCGUGAAGGAAGACGGUUUUCGGAUUGUAAACCUCUGUCAGCAGGGAAGAACGGUCACUGUGCUAAUCAGCAGUGAAUUGACGGUACCUGCAAAGGAAGCACCGGCUAACUCCGUGCCAGCAGCCGCGGUAAUACGGAGGGUGCGAGCGUUAAUCGGAAUUACUGGGCGUAAAGCGCUCGUAGGCGGUAUGUCAAGUCAAGGGUGAAAUCCCCGCGCUCAACGUGGGAACUGCCUUUGAAACUGGCAAACUGGAGUGUGUGAGAGGAUAGUGGAAUUCCAGGUGUAGGAGUGAAAUCCGUAGAUAUCUGGAGGAACAUCAGUGGCGAAGGCGACUAUCUGGCACAUAACUGACGCUGAGGAGCGAAAGCGUGGGUAGCAAACAGGAUUAGAUACCCCAGUAGUC